UGGUGCGUUCAUACCAGCACUAAUGCACCGGAUCCCAUCAGAACUCCGAAGUAAAACGUGCUUGGGCGAGAGUAGUACUAAGAUGGGUGACCUAUUGGGAAGUCCUCAUGUUGCACCCC
Molecule: ribosomal RNA, 119 nt
Filed under: Ricinus communis (castor bean)
Lineage: Eukaryota; Viridiplantae; Streptophyta; Magnoliopsida; Malpighiales; Euphorbiaceae
Source: RNAcentral